UACGUAGGGUGCGAGCGUUGUCCGGAAUCACUGGGCGUAAAGGGCGCGUAGGCGGCAUGCCAAGCGUGUGGCGAAAGCCCGGGGCUCAACCCCGGGUCGGCCGUGCGGACUGGCGUGCUCGAGCACUGUAGGGGCGGGUGGAAUUCCGGGUGUAGGCGGUGGGAAUGCGUAGAGAUCCGGAAGAACACCGGUGGCGAAGGCGGCCCGCUGGGCAGGAAGACACCGCAAGGUGUCGGCUGACGCUGAGGCGCGACAGCGUGGGGAGCAAACAGG
RNAcentral lists this ribosomal RNA (273 nucleotides) under uncultured bacterium. RNAcentral describes it as "partial 16S ribosomal RNA". It matches the Rfam family "Bacterial small subunit ribosomal RNA", at positions 524 to 776 of the family's 1533-position model. The record is from RNAcentral.